GAUGAACGCUGACAGAAUGCUUAACACAUGCAAGUCGAUGGGGAAGUGGUGCUUGCACCAUGGUAACCAUGGCGGACGGGUGAGUAACGCGUAAGGAACUUGCCUGCGGGACUGGGAUAACAGCAGGAAACUGCUGAUAAUACCGGAUAAGGUCAUUAAGCUGCAUAGCUUAGUGAUGAAAGGAGACGCCUGCGGAGAGCCUUGCGUCCUAUUAGCUAGUUGGAGGGGUAACGGCCCACCAAGGCGAAGAUAGGUAGCCGGCCUGAGAGGGUGGACGGCCACAAGGGGACUGAGAGACGGCCCUUACUCCGACGGGAGGCAGCAGUGGGGAAUAUUGGACAAUGGGGGCAACCCUGAUCCAGCAAUUCUGUGUGCACGAAGACGGUUUUCGGAUUGUAAAGUGCUUUCAGCAGGGAAGAAGGAAGUGACGGUACCUGCAGAAGAAGCGACGGCUAAAUACGU
RNAcentral lists this ribosomal RNA (462 nucleotides) under uncultured bacterium. RNAcentral describes it as "partial 16S ribosomal RNA". It matches the Rfam family "Bacterial small subunit ribosomal RNA", at positions 28 to 506 of the family's 1533-position model. The record is from RNAcentral.